AUUGAACGCUGGCGGCAUGCCUUACACAUGCAAGUCGAACGGCAGCACGGGUGCUUGCACCUGGUGGCGAGUGGCGAACGGGUGAGUAAUACAUCGGAACGUACCUUAUCGUGGGGGAUAACGCAGCGAAAGCUGUGCUAAUACUGCAUACGCCCUGAGGGGGAAAGCGGGGGAUCGAAAGACCUCGCGCGAUUAGAGCGGCCGAUGCCUGAUUAGCUUGUUGGUGGGGUAAAAGCCCACCAAGGCGACGAUCAGUAGCUGGUCUGAGAGGACGGUCAGCUACACUGGGACUGAGACACGGCGCAGAAUCCUACGGGAGGCAGCAGUGGGGAAUUUUGGACAAUGGGGGCAACCCUGAUCCAGCAAUGCCGCGUGAGUGAAGAAGGCCUUCGGGUUGUAAAGCUCUUUUGUCAGGGAAGAAACACCGGCUCUAACACAGUCCGGGAAUGACGGUACCUGAAGAAUAAGCACCGGCUAACUACGUGCCAGCCGCCGCCGUAA
This 501-nucleotide ribosomal RNA is filed under the name uncultured bacterium. RNAcentral describes it as "partial 16S ribosomal RNA". It matches the Rfam family "Bacterial small subunit ribosomal RNA", at positions 30 to 523 of the family's 1533-position model. The record is from RNAcentral.